This 253-nucleotide ribosomal RNA is filed under the name uncultured bacterium. RNAcentral describes it as "partial 16S ribosomal RNA". It matches the Rfam family "Bacterial small subunit ribosomal RNA", at positions 524 to 776 of the family's 1533-position model. The record is from RNAcentral.
UACGUAUGGGGCAAGCGUUAUCCGGAUUUACUGGGUGUAAAGGGAGCGUAGGCGGCGGGGCAAGCCUGAUGUGAAAGCCCGGGGCUCAACCCCGGGACUGCAUUGGGAACUGCCCUGCUGGAGUGCCGGAGGGGCAGGCGGAAUUCCUAGUGUAGCGGUGAAAUGCGUAGAUAUUAGGAGGAACACCAGUGGCGAAGGCGGCCUGCUGGACGGUGACUGACGCUGAGGCCCGAAAGCGUGGGGAGCAAACAGG